UAGGGAAUCUUCGGCAAUGGGGGCAACCCUGACCGAGCAACGCCGCGUGAGUGAAGAAGGUUUUCGGAUCGUAAAGCUCUGUUGUAAGAGAAGAACGUGUGUGAGAGUGGAAAGUUCACACAGUGACGGUAACUUACCAGAAAGGAACGGCUAAAUACGUGCCAG
RNAcentral lists this ribosomal RNA (165 nucleotides) under uncultured bacterium. Its description in RNAcentral is "partial 16S rRNA". It matches the Rfam family "Bacterial small subunit ribosomal RNA", at positions 355 to 511 of the family's 1533-position model. The record is from RNAcentral.